ACGACUGCAGUGAUGAGCCUUAUUUGUGGACUAGAGUUUCUGACCUUACUGGUUGAAGACAAACCCUUGGCUGUCUGAGCAAAUUU
Molecule: small nucleolar RNA, 86 nt
Organism: Amaranthus tricolor (Joseph's coat)
Lineage: Eukaryota; Viridiplantae; Streptophyta; Magnoliopsida; Caryophyllales; Amaranthaceae
Product: small nucleolar RNA Z157/R69/R10
Exons: 1
Source: RefSeq, a predicted model, not a curated record